This 12357-nucleotide long non-coding RNA is filed under the name Setaria viridis. RNAcentral's name for it is "long non-coding RNA (SVIR_LNC009072)". The record is from RNAcentral. Lineage: Eukaryota; Viridiplantae; Streptophyta; Magnoliopsida; Poales; Poaceae.
CUGGCAACGUCAACGCCAUGAUCUCUGCCUUCGAAUGUGUUCACGAUGUAUAUCCUCUGCCAACCCAUAGUUGUGCAGUUAUAUAGCCAUUCGCUUUAAAAUGGAAUCCUGAAAGGGGCUCUCUGAAAUGCAAAUGCAGGGCUGGGGUGUUGCCGUGCUGGUCGGUGUCCCGCACAGGGAGGACCAAUUCAAGACCCACCCAAUGAACUUCCUGAAAGAGAAGACUCUCAAGGGAACCUUUUUCGGCAACUACAAGCCCCGCACCGACCUGCCCAAUGUCGUGGAGAUGUACAUGAAGAAGGUAAUAACCAUGAAAUCGCCGAAUUUAAGAGAACAUGAAUCCCGAAAUCUUCAUGGUUUCAUGUGACAUAUUUCUGAUGGAUCAAACUUGUGGUGUUGGAUCCUCUGUAGGAGCUCGAGGUGGAGAAGUUCAUCACCCACAGUGUGCCGUUCUCCGAGAUCAACACGGCCUUCGACCUGAUGCUUAAGGGGGAGGGCCUGCGCUGCAUCAUGAGGAUGGAGGACUAGAGCUUGAUUGCCAGGAACCUCUCUUGGCAACUACUCUGUUGCAUAAGAGAGGAGGACAUCAGAAGUUGAAGGCGCUCCAUUGUGAAGUAGUAAUAAUGUGGUCCUGAGAAACGUACAUUGCCCACCCCUGUAUUCUGUUUCACGGUUUCAUCUUUAUUGUCGGUGUGUGGUCACUGGUCAGGUUUCGGCUCUGAAAAAACAAAAGAAGUUUGUGGUCAGGUUUCAGAAUCCCUGUAAUUACCAUUUUGCACAAAGAUAAUGAAGUGUUGUCAGUGUUGAUGUUCCGGCCUUAAAGCCUUCAUCCUAAAUUGUAGUUUCAUAUGAGAUUAGCUUGUGAUCUUCCAUGGAGGGAGGUGCCACGAGGAGUCUAGUCCAAACUCCAAAGCUCUGCUCAAUACCCUCUUUGGCAUUCUCUACUCAGGUCACUCCAAAUGCAAAGUCAGGGGCGGAUCCAGCCCACAAAUUGACUGGAGAGUCUGCUAUACAGUUUAUACAGUACAUAAAAGGCCCAAAAAAAUAAGCCGUGGCCUCACUUGGCUCUAUGUGUGGGUCCGUCCCCCCGAAUCCAACACAAACGGUUUUGUGAAAUAGUUCAUACCCGUUUUCAAUUGAAGUGCUUCUUUUGAAUAAGUUACCAUUUUUUUCUUUUUUUUGCAUCGUCCAAGUGUAUAAUAGUAGAAUUAUGCGUUAAAACAAAAUGAAACAAAUACUAACAUGUGACAUCAGACAAAGUUUACAUGCGACAUCAAACACAGUUUACAUGCAUGCAACCUAGCUAAUAACGGAACGGUUUCUAGAUUGAAGUGCUUCUAGCAGCCAUGACCAGGAUUUCCGUGACGCGUGUGUGCUGGUGAAAGCUGGCCGGCCGGUCCAUGGACUGACGCAGACCCAGUUGCAAAGAUCCUGAACCGGCGUGAGGGAGGAAUCAGGCAAUCAGGUGCAAGAUUCUCGUUGUGCCCGCUGUAUCUCAUGAUCCUGACUUGCUCCCACGGUAAUGGCCAUUGUGGGCACACAUUGUUUGAGAACCAACGAUGCCACCACUUGGGCGGCUGCCGGCAUGCCGCACAAGUGGACAGGCCAGUGCAUGUGCGGCAGAGCAUGAGCGUGGCGACCGUGUGAUCUGUGAUCCGAGGUUGUCAUGAAAAGCUAAGGCAUCUGCUACAGCACAUUUCGUACUUUGGUCGUUUGGUAGCGUGAUCGUAGACCCCACCCCACCCAAACUGGGGCAGUGUAACUUUACCAAAUUAAUUUGAAAAAAAAUCGAAAGCACACCCGUCAACUAUAAGGGGUGUUUAGGAGGAGGGGUUAAACUUUAGCCCUAUCACAUCGGAUGUUCAGAUACUAAUUAGGAGAACUAAACAUAAGCUAAUUACAAAACUAAUUGCAGAACCCCUAGGCUAAAUCGCGAGAUGAAUCUAUUAAGCCUAAUUAAUCUAUCAUUAGUGAAUGGUUACUGUAGCACCACAUUGUCAAAUCAUGGACUAAUUAGGCUUAAUAGAUUCGUCUCGCGAUUUAGCCUAGGGGUUGUGUAAUUAGUUUUGUAAUUAGUCUAGGUUUAAUACUCCUAAUUAGUGUCCAAACAUUCGAUUUGACGGGGGCUAAAAUUUAGCCCCCUCCUUCUAAACACCUCCAUAAUGGAAGAUAUCCUGCCGCUCAUUGUGUUUCUAGAUGUGUGAGACUUUGUUUCUCGUGGAUGCAUUCAAUAUGUAUACGAAUUGUUACAUGUCAGGAAUUUGUCCUAGCCCGAUUGAUAUAAAGAUAGGCUGUGUUUGGUUUCCUUUCUUAUUUCUUUAGUGAGGGAUUAAAGUUUAGUCUCCCUAUUUAGAUGUAGGGACUAAAUAGUAUUUAAUGACUUGAACAAUGACUAUAUUACCCCUAAAUAUUGCUACCCCUACCUUUUUCCUUGGGUGCUGGGGAGGACGGGAGUGGCGGCAGGCGGGCGGCCCGGCGUGGGUGGAGCCGGACAUGGAGUGGUGGUGGUUGGAGGAGUGGACUCGGCAUGCGCUGCGGGUUGGGGUCGACUGCAACAGCGGAGGCGUGGGGAGGGGCGGCGGAGUUGAGGGAGAGGCGGGGCACGUUGUCGUGGUUGAGGCCGGAGAAGGGGGAGCGUGGUGGCGGAGGCAUACGGAGGGGCGAGGAGGGUGACGGUGGCGGGUGUUAGACGAGAGGGGGCCGGGUGGCGAGUGCAGCGGCGGGGAGGGCGGAAGGUGCGGCGGCGGCGGGGAAUGGAACGGGAGGUAGAAACGGAUCGAGACGGGUGGAUGCGUGGGAGAGAGGGUCAUGGACAGGCCAUAAAACGAGGGUAGGAGGUGUUUAGGGUACACUUUAAUCCCCAUAAGCAACCUCUUGGUAAUUUAUGGAUUAAAGUUUAGCACUAAAGUUUAGUCACAUAAGCAAGUCUGUUUGGCACUUUAGGAACUAUAGUAAAAUUUAACAAGUUUGUUUGGCACCUUAGGGACUAAAGUAUAAUAAAAUUUAACAAGUUAGCAAGGUGAAACGAAACAGGUUGACAUAAACUUAGGGCCUGUUUGGUUAAACUUAGGGCCUGUUUGAACUUAGGGCCUGUUUGGUUAGCAUUGCUUAUAAAUAAGCAACUUAUAAAUAAGCAAAUAAGUUGCUUAUAACCCAAACACUCUUGCUUAUAGAGUUGCUUAUAAGUUGCUUAUGCAUAAGCAAAUAAGCAACUUUUGGGUUGCUUAUAGUUGCUUAUGGAGCACUUUUACUCCUCCUACCCUCAUUCUCUCUCCUCUCUCCCCUUUCUCUCUUCUCUCUCCCGUCACCACUGCCUGGCGCCGCUUCCGCCGGCCGCCGGCACGCCGCCCGCCGCCGCUCCCGCCCGCCGGCCGCCUCCGCGCCACCCGCCGCCGCUCCCGUCCGCCCGCCGCCCGCGCGCCGCCCGCCUCCACGCCGCUCGCCGCCCGCUCCCGCCCGCGCGCCGCCGCUCCCGCCCGCUCGCCGCCCGCUCCCGCCCGCCCGCCGCAGCUCCCGCCCGCCCGCCGCCUCCGCGCCGCCCGCCGCCGCUCCCGCCCGCCCGCCGCCCGCUCACCGCCGGCCUUCGCGCCGCUCGCCGCCCGCUCCCACGCCACCCGCUGCCGCUCCCGCCCGCCCGCUGGAUCUCGUUGCUCCUCCUCCCGCGCCGUCGCUGGAUCUGGACGAGCGGAGGGGCGCCCGCUGUACGAAUCGAGCCUUCGGCGCCCGUCGGGGGAGAAGCAGGCGGCGCGUCCAGUGGGCUCGAGCCCGCCGCCCAUUUUCCAUCUCGUCAGCUGCUCCCGCCCGCCGCCGCCGCUCCCACCCGCCUCCGUGCCGCGCACCCGCCGCCGGCCGCCCGCCGCUCGCACCCCGCCGCUGCCCAAACCAAGGGGUAGGAGCUGGGUCAUUUCAGGGGUAGAGGAAAAUGGGAUGGCAUGGGUAAAUAUGUCAAUACCAAUCAUAUAAGCAACCCAAACCAAACACCUAGACUUAUAAAUAAGCAACUACAAUAAGCAACUUAUAAAUAAGCACCCAUAACCAAACAGGCCCUUACUUCGUUUCACGUGAGAUCGGCACCUUUUUUACUUUCCUGCACUCCUCCAACGUCUCCUUUCCCACUUUCCUAUGUGCUUCAGCAACCUUUGCUCUUCCACAGUAAUUUUUAACAGAAAUUUGUGCUCCCACCAGUGUAUUAUAUGCUAUCUUCCAUCUGGACGAGUUCAUAUCGAUACAUCGAUGCACAACAGCGUGCAAAUAGGUACAAAUUGGUAGAUCGGAAAGAAUUCAUUACUCUCAAACCGUACAUCAUUAUACAGCCUCCUGUACAUCCUGUACAUCAUUGUGCACUAAAAGAAAUCAAUCCUUUACAAAUAUACAAAAUGAGCACACAUAAUAUUAAAAAAAAUCAACACUAACAUAUCAAUCUUUCCAUUGGCAAUUUAUAAUUUGUGAACAAAUCGGUAGAAAACAGCAGAUGUUUGAGAAUCAUUUCAAACCUCGAUUCGGCAGAAUAAUAUGUCCAUCAAGAGCUCGUUCAAAAAAAAACAAUUCUAAUCCAAUAACAAAGCUUCAAACUUGAUACAUGGUGCAAACAAAUAAUAAAAAAGGUGAAAGCAAAUCGUUGCUGCCAACAACCUCACCCUUGAGCGGCACGUACAACAUCGCUCAAAGUAUCUCCUCUGCAAUGAACAAAGCAUCUCCUCGAUUGAUCAUAAGAAAAAAAAAAGAAAAGAACCAAGAAAGGGGAGGACACGCAAGAUCAAGAACUCAUGCCUUGGGGAGGAGAGGACGCUGACCUCUAGCACCGAGCGGGUGGGCAAGAAGCUUGCCGAUGCGCCUCGCUGCCGGCAACUCCGAAGCUGAGGACUCCGUAAUCCUGACCUCGACCACCACCUUGGCGGGCGUGCCGCCACCGCUCGCUGCAGGCCAUCGGCUGGGGCUCGCCACGACCACUCGAUGCACUGCGCUACCCCUUGUCCCAAGGGCCACCGGUCUGGGCAUGGUGCGCAGCCGCCGCCUCCGCUCCCCCACCACCAUCUCCACAUAUCUCCUCACCACGGGUCUCCGGCCGCCGCCGCCAUGCACCUCGUGCUCCUUGAGGUUCCGCUCCGAGCUGGAAUCCACGCGGCCACGCAACGACCUCACGACGCGCCGAGCCCCGGCGGCCUCACCCCUCGAUGGCGCUCUAAGGGGCGCCCCUCCCCAGUGCUCGGCUCUCGUCGGAUCUGGACACCGCACCGUUGGGACGGCCGUCGAAAGUCGAAUCCAGCGCGACGCUGUCCUAGGUGCGGCAACAGGCAGCCGGAUCCGACACGGCGAAGGGGCAUGGGGGCGAGGCGUGCUACCCCGCCGGCUUUUCGCGUGACAAUGGCAGUGGACCCGGAGCUGGACAACCAUGGGGGAGCAACGGAAUGACAUACUUUGCUCUCGCUCCUGCCAUAGCGCGUGGCGCGGGGGUGCUCGAUGGCGCCGCCGCUCCUGUACCGCGCCAGGCUUCAUCGCUCACUUCGUACGAGUUAAUUAGCUUAUUCUAAAUAUCAUAUAUUUAUUGACGGAGUUAGGCCCUGUUUGGCAUGGCUCCAGCUUUAGGUGCAGCUGCUCCACUCCAGAACUCCAGGUGGAUCCAGCUCCACUCCAAAACUUCAGAAAUAAAAUGGGGUGUUUGGCUAGAUAGGUGCUCUUAGCUCCAAAAAAGACCGAUUUCAGUGUAGAUUGCCAUUGUUGCCCCCCAAUUCAAGCCCCACUUGUCAUACGCCCCGACGAACAGCUGCGUGCCUGCCUCGAAGAUACUGGCAGCGAUGUCCUCGCCGUACACCACGGACGCGCUGCCGGGACCGCCACUGGCAUCAUCGGCCACGACGAGCUCGACGCGGAGCGCCCCUCCCUUGUCCACCGCGACGGCCCGGAGGACGGGCAUAUCUCCUGUGGGCGGCGACGGGGCCGGGUCGGCGGCGGGCUGUGCGGCCACGAGACCGGGGUGGCGACGGGUAGCGGGGCUCGACGGCGACGGGAGACGGGGGCGGGCAGCGACGGGCGACGGGGCGGGGCGGCGACGGGCGCAGGGGCGCACGGCCGCCGGUGGGGCGCCGUGGCUGGUGCAGGGGGCCGGUGGUGGGGCGCUGCGGCCGCCGGCGGGCUUCGGCGGCGGGGUGAGACGGCCGGGCGAGACGGUCGGCGUCGGGCUUCGGCGGUGGGGCUUCGGCGGCGUCGGGGCUUCGGUGGUGGGGAACUCCUGCGGCGGCGGGCUUCGGGGGCGGGGCGCUGCAGCUGGCGGCGUCGUUCGGCGGAGGGCGCGACAGCCGGCGGCGGGGUGCGUCCAGAUACGGUGGGAGGCGGAGGUAAGGCGGCCGGGCGGGGCUAAAGCGGCUGGCGGCGGGGCUCGGCCGGCCUGCGGCGGGGCUGAACGGCGGGUCUCCGGCCGCCGGCAGGGCCUACGGCGGCGGCGCACGGGCGGUCGGCGCAACCCUAGGCGCGGCCGGGCGUGAGUACUCGAGAAUGAAGAAGGAACAGAGGCGCGAGGCAAGAAAGAAUGAAACGUUAUCUUGUGUAAUCAGUGGCAGUGGUGGGUAAUUACCCACCAACUCCACGAGGAGGUUCAAAAGAGGACGUUUUGGAGCAGCAAAAGGGGUGCUCCAAAACUCCAGCCCCAAUUGCACUACAGCUCCAUGGAGUUUUGGAGUUGACGUGUUUGGCUGGAUUUUUUGCUGGAGUCGCUGGAGUUACGGAGUGGAGCCGUGCCAAACACCCCCUUAGUGUCAUACCAUUACUAAUUGUAAUUAUUUUAAAGCCUCCAGUGAAGCUACCUAAGAUCUAGGUGGACACUCUAGAAAAAGAGAGAAAUCCUAAAAAUUCUUAAAAAAAGCAAAACAUCUAGCCAUCAAUUUGUAGACUCGAAUCAUUAUAGCCAUUGGAUCUAUUAUGGUUUUUAAAAAAUUACCCACCUAUACCAUUAUAAAAAUAGCCUAAAAUAAUCCCUAAACUACCUCUAAAUUACCCAUCCAUGCCAUUAUAUAAAAUAAACUAAAGUAAUUUCUAAUGUAACUUACCCUAAUGUGAUGUGUCAAAAAAAAUUUCAAAACAUAUGUACGUAAAUCUAAUUUGUACGUGAUCUAUUUUUUCUAAAAAAAUAUACUAUUGGUUGCAUGUGAGUAACCCUAAUCUAACUACCCUAACGUGAUCUGUAAAAAACUUCAAAAAAUAUGUAUGCAAAUCUAAUUCCAUUACCUGAUAGAUGCACAUAUGUACUUGAUCUAUUUUUUUUAAAAAAGUAUACUAAUGGUUACAUGUGAGUGGUAAUGUACAUACGUAAAUAUAUUUUCUUGAUAUCUAAUAGAUUAUUUCUUUUGGUAAGUAAUAAUUGCGUUAUAUGCAACAUAUUUCAAAUGAGAUGUGGCAGGUCAAAUUUUUAGGUGAAGUGAUAAUUGUAUCAUACGUAACAUUGUAACAAGAAAUUGUUUGAACAUGAGAUUAAAUUGUUAGCAAUAUCAAAAAUAGCAUACAUGUGUAGAUGUCACGAAUAAAAAUCAUACUAUGAGACAUGGCAGACAUGGGACCUACAUGCCGUUGCACGGUAGUAGAAAAAAAAUUAUGGAAAAAAAUUAAAAUGUUUAUGAUGAUAUGCACGCAUGCUGACAGGACUUUAAAGAGAUAAAGACUGGAUGGAUGCAUGCAUACAUAUCACCGGUAGUUGGAAAGAAGUGGGUUAGUAGUUAUUUUUCUAUUUUCUAAUUGGAUUUUUUCCUUAAUAAUCAAGAGUCCAGAUUUAAUUUAUGUCUUACCUCCCAGGAGGUAAAAGGUGUACUUUAGCAAGGUCCGUUGUCAAAAUUACUCACUUAUGUUAUUAGAAAAAUAAUUUAAAAUUACCUCCUAAAUUUGUAACAAAAUUGUCCACCACUAAUACUUAAAUAAAAAUAUCUUAAAGUAACCCAUAAAUGUACAUCUAUAUUACACACGUGCUAUUAUUAAAAAUAACAUGAGGUAACCUAAAUUUUAAUCCAAAUCAUCUUAAUGAAAAAUAUAGACCAAUAUACGGUUCUAAAUCAUACAUUAGUAUAUGAUAUAAUUAUUAAGGUACAUAUGCAUGAUGUGUGUCAUAAUUUAUAAUGAUAUGGAGCAAGCGAUGAGAAUAUUGAUUUCUAUGUUAAAAGUAUAACUGAAACUUAGGAUCCAUUAUUAAAAAAAUUGAAGCGCAUAACUGCGAUGCAACAUGAAAACUUAAAGAUUGUAAAUGUGGAUAAAAAUAUUAUAGAGUAAUUACUAACUAAAAUCUAUCACAAUCGGAUAAAUAUAAUAAAUAUAUAUCUAUAUAACUAUUGUGUUCGAAUAUUUAACAAAUGAGAGGUAGAUCAAGGUAAUAGUUUGGUAGCAAUGCGGUCUCACUUUUUUUUCCAUUGGAGACUAAAGACACGCUAGAAAAAAAGACAAAUCCUAAAUAAUUCUCACAAAAAUUAGAAAUAUCAAACAUCAAUCCAGUAAACUCUAAUAAUCAUAGCAUUAGUCUGUUAUAUUUUUAAAAAAGUUACCCACCACUUUCAUUAUGAAAAUAUUCUAAAAUAAACACUAAACCUUUAUAUAAAUUGUCGAGCUCUUCCAAUCCAAUUUACUUAUGCAUAUCGUUAUAAAGCAUAACUUAAAAUGUCAUUUUAAGUUUAUAUCUAAGUUACCCACAUAUGUUGUUAUUAAAAAUAAUCUAAAGUAAGCACGGAAAUCGUAAUCUAAUUAUCUUCACGUGCAUCAUAUAUAAAUGUACAAAAGUAAGCUAAUAGAUGGUUCUAAAUUACGUAUUAUGUCAUUGUUAAUAUACAAAUACUAAGUUAAGGUAUACACACAUGAUGAGUGACACCAUAUAGACCAUUUAUACAUGCAUGUGAGGAAGUGAUGAAAAAUAUUAAUUUUUAUGCUUAACAUAAUAUAUGGAGGUGCGAUAAAAAAUGAAAAAAGUGUGGAUGUGGAUGAAAGGUGUAAAGUAAUUAUUAAUUAAAAAUCAAUCACAACUAGAAAAAUAUAAGUAGAUAUAUAUAUGAGUAUUAUGUCAAGGAUUAAAAAUGAGAGAGUAAUAGUAAACAAUUUUCAUUUCUAAAUAAUUUUUAAAUAUAAUAAUUUUUAAAAAUAUUAACCCGUGCGGGAGUACGAUGGAUAGACUAGUUAUGCCAAUUCCUAUGCGCAGGAGACUAAUUUUGUUAGCAUCAGGUAAAAGGUUUGUUGCUCGACUGCAUCCGGACAAACCCUUGUCGUUACGGUCCUAAUCACCACGAUCUAGAGCCCCAAUCACCGUCACGGCGCGACACUUUCCGGCUUCCGCCUGCUUCCACAUGCCUCCGGGCUGCGUCUAGAAAUCCUCGAAACACCCCUGAUUCACCAGCACACCUGUCCCCAGUCCCAGCAACGCACAGGGCGCCACGCCGGCACGACCCCCUCUCUGAGCCGCAGAUCAUGCCCCCCGCCCGGCGCAUCCGACGGCCGGGACGGCUUGGUGGCAUCCCCCACCGCCCGGCGGCCUCCCCCACGAGCGGAAACCACGGCCGCGCUCCAGGUGGAGGCAGGAGCCCCGGUUUCGGCCGCCACGCCGCGCGCGUCCGUGGUUUGCUGCCCACGAAGGUGGACGGAAGGUGGCGAAACCGCACCCUCCGUCUUCUUCCCCUCCCCAACGCUCAGCGCCUCGCCCGGAGCUAUAUAUAGACGGGGCGCUCCCCUCUGGCUCCUCACGGAUUCGAUUUGGCUUGGAUUUGAUCGGUGUGAGGUGAUUAGUGCUGCUUGAUUUGGGAUUCCGUUCGGGAGUUUGGGGAACGAGGCAAUGGCGACGGCCGGGAAGGUGAUCAGGUGCAAAGGUCCGUGCUUGCUCCUGCUCUGCAUCUCGAGCUGUCUAAUUUCAGUCUGUUUGAUUUGGGAGUAAUUUUGGGGGAAAGGUUGGAUGCUCGACGGUCUUCCGGAAUUCUUUUGGGGAGUUCUUGUAAUGCUGCAACCGUGGGCGACUUUCUUUUGUAAUCCUUUUGCCCCGUAGAAAUGCUACAAAUCUUUUCUAAUGUGAAAUUAUUACAAGGAUCGCUCUGUUCGUCACAGAGCCCGGCCGGCCUCCACUCCCACGUACGAGGGAAAAUAUCUGCAAUUUUGUUUUUUUCCCGCAAAGAGGAAGUCGUAAAGUCGUUUUCGUUACGAUCUACGAAUGUUGCAACUUGCAAGGAGUAGCUUUUUUGUUUUGCUGGAUUAAUCGAUCGAGCUGACUAUGAGCUAAUCGAUUGCAGCCGCGGUGGCAUGGGAGGCCGGGAAGCCGCUGUCGAUCGAGGAGGUGGAGGUGGCGCCGCCGCAGGCCAUGGAGGUGCGCGUCAAGAUCCUCUACACCUCGCUCUGCCACACCGACGUCUACUUCUGGGAGGCAAAGGUAUCUACUCACCCAUCCCCUUCCGUUGCUUUGUCAGUAAGAUAUGAUGCAGCAACUCGCAGUUGACUUGCGCCUUUUCUUGGCGGCUUAUCUGUCUUAGGGGCAGACUCCCGUGUUCCCUCGGAUCUUCGGUCAUGAGGCUGGAGGGUACGUUCUCUUCCCUGAUUCACUUUAUUUUGUUAUAGUGAUUAAGCGUGUUUGUACUUCACGUGUACAUUAAAUUUUUGUUCUUGCGCAUGGAUCUAUGUUUAUCGAUACUAGUCUUUCUUUAUUGGCUUUACUAGAUGCAAAACGAUAUGUUUGUGUAGCCUGGAUUCUGGAGAACAUGUGAAAUAGUCAUAAGAAAUAGUUUAUCUUGUUUGAAGUGGUAUAUGAAUAUGAUUGAAUAUUAUUUGUGUGGAUGCCCGAUGUUCUUUUGGUGGACUCCGAUAGAUUUAUUAUUAUUUCAGAUGCAAUGUCUUCAUGUGAUUCAGUAUUUUUUUUCAGUUGAGACAAUGACAUGUACAACUAGGGGCUGUUUAAUCUUUAGUUGACUUAUUUCGUGAUGAAUUUUCCUUGAAGUAGACUGCUGUAGAAUCAUUUUAGGUCUGUUAUCCGAAUCAAAUUUGUUUAUGCUGCCUUUCCUGAAAUUUGUUGACUUCUACAGUAUCAUAGAGAGUGUUGGAGAGGGUGUGACUGACGUGGCCCCUGGUGACCAUGUCCUUCCUGUGUUCACUGGGGAGUGCAAGGAGUGCCCCCACUGCAAGUCGGCUGAGAGCAACAUGUGUGAUCUGCUCAGGAUCAACACUGACAGGGGUGUGAUGAUUGGCGAUGGCAAGUCACGGUUUUCAAUCAAUGGGAAGCCUAUCUACCACUUUGUUGGGACAUCCACCUUCAGUGAGUACACUGUCAUGCAUAUUGGUUGUGUUGCAAAGAUCAACCCUGAGGCUCCCCUUGAUAAAGUGUGUGUUCUUAGCUGCGGUAUUUCUACUGGUAAGUUCAUUUAGUACAUUUUGGUAUGCGUAUGGUAGAAUAUAUUUCUCUUGAGAUGUUGACUUAUGUCAUUUCUCUGUUUAGGUCUUGGUGCAACAAUUAAUGUUGCAAAACCGCCAAAGGGCUCAACAGUUGCUAUUUUCGGUCUAGGAGCUGUUGGUCUUGCUGUAAGUGUUGAAAUUAUUCACUUGUUUUAUGCCCUUUCAGUUCAAUUGUAAUGAGAAUGUGUUUUGGGUUUGCAUCUGAUUACCCUGCAUAUAUGCACGAUUUAGGCUGCAGAAGGUGCAAGGAUUGCUGGAGCGUCAAGGAUCAUUGGUGUUGACCUGAACCCCAGCAGAUUCGAAGAAGGUGAGAAUCCCAUUGAUCUGAGUCGCCAUUUUAUAUGUUGUUCUGAUAUGUCAGUUACUCAUAUUUUUAUCCAUUUUUUCAGCUAAGAAAUUUGGUUGCACUGAAUUUGUGAACCCAAAAGACCACAGCAAACCAGUGCAGCAGGUCUGUUUCUUUACCUGAGAUAACCAGAAGUUGGUACAGCAUAUGCAGAACUUGGCCAUAACAUCCAGUUUCAUUAUGGUUUAGGUACUUGCUGAUAUGACCAAUGGAGGAGUUGACCGCAGUGUGGAAUGCACUGGAAACAUCAACGCUAUGAUCCAAGCAUUUGAGUGUGUUCAUGAUGUAUGUACACUGUCCAUAAAUGUGUUAUUCAGUGAGCAUUCUACAAGUUCCUUAGACUCGGACAGAGUUCUAACAGCAAUGCACUUUAUCCAGGGCUGGGGUGUCGCUGUGCUGGUUGGUGUGCCACACAAGGAUGCUGAGUUCAAGACUCACCCGAUGAACUUCCUGAACGAGAGGACCCUGAAGGGAACCUUCUUCGGCAACUACAAGCCACGCACUGACCUGCCCAAUGUGGUGGAGCUGUACAUGAAGAAGGUAAGUGCAGAGCACUGUUUCUUCAGCAACCUUGCUACUUUCUUGUAGUAGUAGUGGACCUUUGCUGAAACUGUUAGCACUUC